AGUAGCGAACGCUGGCGGCAUGCUUAACACAUGCAAGUCGCACGGGCAGGGCAACCUGUCAGUGGCGGACGGGUGAGUAACGCGUAGGAAUCUAUCCACGGGUGGGGGAUAACGCCGGGAAACUGGUGCUAAUACCGCAUGAUACCUGAGGGUCAAAGGCGCAAGUCGCCUGUGGAGGAGCCUGCGUCCGAUUAGCUAGUUGGUGGGGUAACUGCCUACCAAGGCGACGAUCGGUAGCUGGUCUGAGAGGAUGAUCAGCCACAUUGGGACUGAGACACGGCCCAAACUCCUACGGGAGACAGCAGUGGGGAAUAUUGGACAAUGGGCGAAAGCCUGAUCCAGCAAUGCCGCGUGGGUGAAGAAGGUCUUCGGAUUGUAAAGCCCUUUCGGCGGGGACGAUGAUGACGGUACCCGCAGAAGAAGCUCCGGCUAACUUCGUGCCAGCAGCCGCGGUAAUACGAAGGGGGCUAGCGUUGCUCGGAAUGACUGGGCGUAAAGGGCGCGUAGGCGGCUUGUACAGUCAGACGUGAAAUUCCUGGGCUCAACCUGGGGGCUGCGUUUGAUACGUAUGGGCUUGAGUUCGGAAGAGGGUCGUGGAAUUCCUAGUGUAGAGGUGAAAUUCGUAGAUAUUGGGAAGAACACCGGUGGCGAAGGCGGCGACCUGGUCCAUUACUGACGCUGAGGCGCGAAAGCGUGGGGAGCAAACAGGAUUAGAUACCCUGGUAGUCCACGCCGUAAACGAUGUGUGCUGGAUGUUGGGUAACCUAGUUACUCAGUGUCGUAGCUAACGCGGUAAGCACACCGCCUGGGGAGUACGGCCGCAAGGUUGAA
This 831-nucleotide ribosomal RNA is filed under the name uncultured soil bacterium. RNAcentral describes it as "bacterial SSU rRNA". It matches the Rfam family "Bacterial small subunit ribosomal RNA", at positions 26 to 898 of the family's 1533-position model. The record is from RNAcentral.